RNAcentral lists this ribosomal RNA (1120 nucleotides) under Neogloboquadrina pachyderma. Its description in RNAcentral is "SSU rRNA". It matches the Rfam family "Eukaryotic small subunit ribosomal RNA", at positions 1164 to 1800 of the family's 1831-position model. Lineage: Eukaryota; Foraminifera; Rotaliida; Globorotaliidae. The record is from RNAcentral.
GCACCACAAGAACGCGUGGAGCAUGUGGCUUAAUUUGACUCAACGCGGGAAAUCUUACCGGGUCCGGACACACUGAGGAUUGACAGGCAAUAUCUCAUGGUUAUUAACCCGUUAAUGGUUAUUUAUUUAAUAGCCAGCGGUUAAUUAAGCAUCGAGUGUUAAAUAUGCUAGUCCUUUCAUGAUUAUGUGAUAGGUGGUGCAUGGCCGUUCUUAGUUCGUGGAGUGAUCUGUCUGCUUAAUUGCGUUUCACUAAGGGCCCAUAAAUUCAAGGUAUGUUAGCUAUCGUCGCUCUACGGACCCCUUAUUCACUGCUUUAAUUAGUUUGUUUAAGCGCGCGUCUUUAUUUAAUGAGUUUAAGACACUGCGCAUGCUGUUGGGCUCUGAAAGCAACGAACGUGACCGCAACGUCUUGUUGCCUUAAUAAAGUUGGCUUUAAAUACGAUUAGCCGUUUAAAUACGAAUUGUAUUUAAACCGCUUACAGAGGCUAUUUAAAACUAGACGGACCGCUGUUUCUUUUCUUAAACCAGAGGAAGGUUGCGGCAAUAACAGGUCUGUGAUGCCCUUAGAUGUUCCGGGCUGCACACGUGCUACAAUGAUCAGUACAGUGAGCAUCUCAAUAUAAUACACCGUCUUAGCGCUUAGACGCGAUUAAUGGAUUGCUUUUUAUUAAGCGAGUCGUUUAAUCGAUGUUUUCUAAUGUGCGCGGUAAAGCCUGCUUCGAGAGUAAGCGGGUAAUCCAUUGGAAGUAAUGAUUUCUCUAUAUCUAGUGCACAACUAUGCACGGCACUCAUUCCCGAGACGGCUAGUUUCGUUUUUUAGUGUGAAUGUAGUGUUAUUCAAACGUGCGUGCAAUUGUCAAUUCAUGGUGGGGACAGACCAUUGUUAACUGUUGGUCUCGGUCUUAACUAGGAAUGCCUUGUACGGGUCUUUGGUUCAACAAACCACCCGGAAUACGUCCCCGCCCUUUGUACACACCGCCCGUCGCUCUUACCGAUGGACUUUUUUGUGAGUCUAAGGGACUGGGUUAAACCACUCGUUUAUUCUAUUAUUCGGAUGGCAGUACCUAUGGAAACUUAUGCGAACAAAGUGGUCUAAAGGAAAGAGAAGUCGUAACAAGGC